CUCAGGGGUUGCCCAGGCUGAACGACGCAAGGUAUCUCUCAUGUACCCAAUGACUUAGAUAGGUUGGGCUUCUCUGUCUCUCAAGCCUUUCAUUCCAUGGGAGACACUUGCCAAGAAGUAAAAGCUUCGCUGUCUCUCAAGGCCAACGUCAGAAAAACUCACUCCUGGGCUUUUUGUUACACCACACAGGUCAAUCAGAGCAAGUCCCAGGGCCAGGCAGACUCAGAGGGCGGAGAAACAGAUUUUCCCUCUAAAUGUGAGGAGUGUCUGGGGCCAUUUUAAUCCCUCUGAGAGGGAAUUGAGAAUUUAUACUAGAAAUCAUGUUUAAUUAAGAAAGAGGGAGCUUUCUCAAUAUCGUAUGCAUGCAGAGUUUGCGUACCUGCUCAAUAGGCAAAGUAUGUAUUAAAGUCCCAAAUCCUUGCUAAGCUUGAGCCCCAGAGGACAGUGUCUUUCAGACUCUGGGGGUGUCAUUUCCUAGCUAUGUCAACAGGCUGCCGAAUGCCCAGUUAGAAACCCAAUUUAGAUCCCUUACAGAGGCUGUAGCACUUUACAUAAGAAGACAAAGAGUAUGGGGUGAGUUGGUACGUGUGUGUGUGUAUGCUUGUAUGUAGCCGGACUUUUUGGUUACUUAUGGGUUCUUUUAUCUACCUCCCUAUACCAUCUUUAUCCCAACACUAAAAAGGAGAGAAGGCUGGGAGGAAAGGGGAGGGGGUCAUCAAUAUUAUUAGAGUACUUCCUGCUGAUUACGGCCAUUAAGUUCCUCAGGGUGAGUAUGAUCAUCGUCAGAAUAUCUCCAAGCAGCAAGCAGCAAGCAGCAAGCAGCAAGCAGCAAGCAGCAAGCAGCAAGCAGCAAGCAGCAAGCAGCAAGCAGCAAGCAGCAAGCAGCAAGCAAGCAGCAAGCAGCAGUGGCACUGAGUAAGCUGGCUGUGCUCUGAGUUCCCCACAGGGGUGCUGAUUGAGAGAGGUAUUCCUUCUGAACUCUGCCUGACUGUGCUCUGUCUCCCGCUGUGCUGGCCAUACAAGCUGUGUGCACUCUCCUGCAGAGGGCUGACUGUUGUGAAAACCUUUGCCACAUAAACAGAAACAAGACAAGGGCUCUUGCAGAUACGAAUGCCAGCAACUUUUCUCUUACAACCUCUGGAACACAAUUUCCUCAGCUCAGCCAUGUGACCGGGAAGAAAUACCAGCUUGAAGAGCAUCUGAGGUUGGAAGUUCAAGGCCAAAGUGUUCACAGAUGGAAGGUCUAGUCAUGUUCAUUGCAAGAGCCAAACAACACUAACCCAGACCCUCCUAACAGAGGGACACAGACAUUCAGACCACAGUACCCACAGACUUGAAAGAGCCAAGUUAUGACCUGAAGGUGCUCCAGCGGUGAAGGUCUCAGAGGGAAGGACAGCUGGCCUAUGUAGGUGCAGAUGUCACCCUGCUGUCACCCUGGCCCAGGUGUCCAUGGAGACCAGAGGCAUCAGAUUCCCUGGAGCUGUAGUGACAGGCGGUUGUGAGCUAACGGACAUGGGUGCUAGGCACCCAACUGGGGUCCUCUGCAGCACGCCACUAACUGCUCAGCCAUCUGUUCCUCUCCAUCCGUGUCACCUGGUCUUCUGUUCGUUCUCCCUCCUGGACCGCUUCCAGUUCAGCACAGUGUGGCCGCCACAGAGCAAGGCAAAACUAGACCAGCAAGGAAGAUAACUUUGACAGAAGCUUCUUCAUCCUGGGGGAGCCACUGUCUUCAAAUAUGCAAGACUCAAAGACCAACAGAGGCCUCGAGGGAGGUGAUUACACCAACUAACGUCGGGAGCCUGUGCCCAGUGGAGACUAGGUAGAGAAAUGUUUUCAUAACAUUUUUAAAUUAUAUUUUUAUUAUUUGAAAAUCAUAUACAGGUCUACAAUAUAUUUUGAUCAUAUCCAUCCAUUACUACCUCCCUCCAGCUUCCCACACUGCCUUGCUUACUCUAUGCCUUCUUUCCAACUUCACCGUUUAAUUCACCAAACACUCCUUCCCCCAGAUUCUUUGAUUCACUUUACUAUAAAG
Meriones unguiculatus (Mongolian gerbil) is the source of this 2032-nucleotide long non-coding RNA. RefSeq lists it as uncharacterized. The transcript has 5 exons. The record is from RefSeq and is a predicted model, not a curated record. NCBI's taxonomy places the organism in Eukaryota, Metazoa, Chordata, Mammalia, Rodentia, Muridae.